This 500-nucleotide ribosomal RNA is filed under the name uncultured Glomeromycotina. Its description in RNAcentral is "partial small subunit ribosomal RNA". It matches the Rfam family "Eukaryotic small subunit ribosomal RNA", at positions 591 to 1092 of the family's 1831-position model. The record is from RNAcentral. Lineage: Eukaryota; Fungi; Glomeromycota.
CCAAUAGCGUAUAUUAAAGUUGUUGCAGUUAAAAAGCUCGUAGUUGAAUUUCGGGAUUAGUACGCUGGUCGUGCCUUCGGUAUGUACUGGUGUUACUGGUUCCUACCUUCUGACGAACCGUCAUGUCAUUAAUUUGGUGUGGCGGGGAAUCAGGACUGUUACUUUGAAAAAAUUAGAGUGUUUAAAGCAGGCUCGCGCUUGAAUACAUUAGCAUGGAAUAAUGAAAUAGGACGUUCGAUCCUAUUUUGUUGGUUUCUAGGAUUGACGUAAUGAUUAAUAGGGAUAGUUGGGGGCAUUAGUAUUCAAUUGUCAGAGGUGAAAUUCUUGGAUUUAUUGAAGACUAACUACUGCGAAAGCAUUUGCCAAGGAUGUUUUCAUUAAUCAAGAACGAAAGUUAGGGGAUCGAAGACGAUCAGAUACCGUCGUAGUCUUAACCAUAAACUAUGCCGACUAGGGAUCGGAUGAUGUUAAUUUUUUAAUGACUCAUUCGGCGCCUUACG